AUUUUCUUAGUAUAAUAGUAUAUUUGACUUCCAAUCAAAAGGUCUAGGAUCCCUAGAGAAAAUA
RNAcentral lists this transfer RNA (64 nucleotides) under Segonzacia mesatlantica. RNAcentral's name for it is "tRNA-Gly". It matches the Rfam family "tRNA". Rfam says of the family: Transfer RNA (tRNA) molecules are approximately 80 nucleotides in length. Their secondary structure includes four short double-helical elements and three loops (D, anti-codon, and T loops). The record is from RNAcentral. Lineage: Eukaryota; Metazoa; Arthropoda; Malacostraca; Decapoda; Bythograeidae.